This 539-nucleotide ribosomal RNA is filed under the name Betta chloropharynx. Its description in RNAcentral is "partial 16S ribosomal RNA". It matches the Rfam family "Bacterial large subunit ribosomal RNA", at positions 1856 to 2597 of the family's 2925-position model. Lineage: Eukaryota; Metazoa; Chordata; Actinopteri; Anabantiformes; Osphronemidae. The record is from RNAcentral.
CGCCUGCCCUGUGACAAAUGUUUAACGGCCGCGGUAUUUUGACCGUGCAAAGGUAGCGCAAUCACUUGUCUUUUAAAUGAAGACCUGUAUGAAAGGCAUGACGAGGGCUUAACUGUCUCCUUUUUCUAGUCAAUGAAAUUGAUCUUCCCGUGCAGAAGCGAGAAUAUAACCAUAAGACGAGAAGACCCUAUGGAGCUUUAGACACAAAACAGUUCUUGUUAAACGAUUCAAAAUAAAGAAACAAACUAAAAGAACCCUGUUCCAUUGUCUUUGGUUGGGGCGACCACGGGGAGACAAACAACCCCCACGCGGACUGGGAAAACAGUUCUCACAACUAAGAGCCACAGCUCUAAUCAACAGAAAUUCUGACCUCAAGAUCCGGCAACGCCGAUCAACGGACCGAGUUACCCUAGGGAUAACAGCGCAAUCCCCUUUUAGAGUCCAUAUCGACAAGGGGGUUUACGACCUCGAUGUUGGAUCAGGACAUCCUAAUGGUGCAGCAGCUAUUAAGGGUUCGUUUGUUCAACGAUUAAAGUCCU